CACGUAGGGCGCAAGCGUUGUCCGGAAUUAUUGGGCGUAAAGAGCUCGUAGGCGGUCUGUUGCGUCCGCUGUGAAAACCCAGGGCUUAACCCUGGGCUGGCAGUGGAUACGGACAGACUAGAGGUAGGUAGGGGAGAAUGGAAUUCCCGGUGUAGCGGUGAAAUGCGCAGAUAUCGGGAGGAACACCGGUGGCGAAGGCGGUUCUCUGGGCCUUACCUGACGCUGAGGAGCGAAAGCGUGGGGAGCAAACAGG
Molecule: ribosomal RNA, 253 nt
Filed under: uncultured bacterium
Lineage: Bacteria
Description: partial 16S ribosomal RNA
Rfam family: Bacterial small subunit ribosomal RNA
Source: RNAcentral